This 481-nucleotide ribosomal RNA is filed under the name uncultured bacterium. RNAcentral describes it as "bacterial SSU rRNA". It matches the Rfam family "Bacterial small subunit ribosomal RNA", at positions 329 to 800 of the family's 1533-position model. The record is from RNAcentral.
AUCGUAACUCCUACGGGAGGCAGCAGUGGGGAAUUUUGGACAAUGGGUGCAACCCUGAUCCAGCAAUGCCGCGUGAGUGAAGAAGGCCUUCGGGUUGUAAAGCUCUUUUGUCAGGCAAGAAACGGUAUUAGCUAAUAUCUAUUACUAAUGACGGUACCUGAAGAAUAAGCACCGGCUAACUUCGUGCCAGCAGCCGCGGUAAUACGUAGGGUGCAAGCGGUAAUCGGAAUUACUGGGCGUAAAGCGUGCGCAGGCGGUUGUGUAAGUCAGAUGUGAAAUCCCCGGGCUCAACCUGGGAAUUGCAUGUGAGACUGCACGGCUAGAGGGUGACAGAGGGGGGUAGAAUUCCACGUGUAGCACUGAAAUGCGUAGAUAUGUGGAGGAAUACCGAUGGCGAAGGCAGCCCCAUGGGAUAACACUGACGCUCAUGCACGAAAGCGUGGGGAGCAAACAGGAUUAGAUACCCCUGUAGUCAUAGAGC